Molecule: ribosomal RNA, 406 nt
Filed under: uncultured bacterium
Lineage: Bacteria
Description: partial 16S ribosomal RNA
Rfam family: Bacterial small subunit ribosomal RNA
Source: RNAcentral
AUUGAACGCUGGCGGCAGGCCUAACACAUGCAAGUCGAACGAGUGGCGGACGGGUGAGUAAUGUCUGGGAAACUGCCUGAUGGAGGGGGAUAACUACUGGAAACGGUAGCUAAUACCGCAUACCAUCGGAUGUGCCCAGAUGGUAUUAGCUAGUAGGUGGGGUAAAGGGUCACCUAGGCGACGAUCCCUCGCUGGUCUGAGAGGAUGACCAGCGGCACUGGAACUGAGACACGGUCCAGACUCCUACGGGAGGCAGCAGUGGGGAAUAUGGCACAAUGGGCGCAAGCCUGAUGCAGCCAGGCCGCGUGUAUGAAGAAGGCCUUGGGGUUGUAAAGUACGUUCAGCGGGGAGGCGGUACCCGCAGAAGAAGCACCGGCUAACUCCGUGCCAGCAGCCGCGGUAAUAC